Molecule: long non-coding RNA, 350 nt
Organism: Lingula anatina
Lineage: Eukaryota; Metazoa; Brachiopoda; Lingulata; Lingulida; Lingulidae
Source: RefSeq, a predicted model, not a curated record
UUGGUAUGAUCGAGACAACCCUGGUGGUAAUGGGGAUUAUGAAAAUUUGUAUGAACAAAAGAAACUAGGUUACGUCUGUGGCGGAUGUAAACCCAUCGGAGCAGAGUGUCGAGUGAAGGGAUCAACCAGUACGUUCACGCGCUGGUCUGGAACUGCUCCCGAUACCUUGGCGAUUCACUGUUUACCCACCAAAGGUCUGGCGUGCGUCAACUCCCAGCAAGCCGACGGGUAUUGCAAUGACUAUGAGAUAAGAUACUUGUGCCCAACAACGUCUGGAACAUGGACAAGCUAUUUAGAUAGGGAUAACCCAGGUGGCGUUGGAGACUUCGAAAACGUGGCGGCAUUUAGGG